This is a non-coding RNA of Meleagris gallopavo (turkey), 266 nucleotides long. The record is from RefSeq and is a predicted model, not a curated record. NCBI's taxonomy places the organism in Eukaryota, Metazoa, Chordata, Aves, Galliformes, Phasianidae.
CUGUACAAGGCUCUGGGGACAGUGCUGGGAGCCUGUAAGAGAGUCCUCCACGUCCAGGAGAAGCUGAUGCAGCACCUGGAGGAAGCAAACGCGGAGGAGCCAUGUGAGGCCCAGGGAAUCAUCUCUCUUCUCAGCCAUGCUGCUGAGAGCAACUUCCAGACAGUCCUGGCCACGCUCACCAUGUUUGCGUCCAGGCUGUACAAAGGCCGCAAUGCGAGGAUUUCCAGGCGCAAGAAGAUGGAGCUGGACAGCACGAGAGCUCAUGC